Molecule: long non-coding RNA, 2419 nt
Organism: Astatotilapia calliptera (eastern happy)
Lineage: Eukaryota; Metazoa; Chordata; Actinopteri; Cichliformes; Cichlidae
Source: Ensembl
CAGUCUCCAAAUAUUACAAGAUCCUCAUUUGAAUGUUGUGUAACAUGAAUAAUUAAUUUAGGAUGUUUAUUGGGACAAUAAUAGCAGCAGGUGUUGCGCUUGUCUCCUGCUAUUCUCGGUUUCUUCUUUGUCAGAGUGACUCGUACUUGUAUAUUCUUAUAUUUGUUGGGGGAAACCACGCGCUUAAGCAUUUCCACCACACUGUGCAGAGAUUACUUCAGUGUAGACAUCCUCAAUACAUUGGUGUUUGUCUGUGAUUGAGCUGUUGUCAUGGCUACCUGGAUGUUCAAUAGAUACCGGGCUGGACCGGAGAGACUCUCCCCACUUCUCACACAGUUAUAAUUAAACACAAUUUAGAGCAAACCGCAGUGUUAAUCUCUUGUAGUGGGGCUGAGGUGCUGGUGGAUAGAGCAGAAUGUGCCUGCCAGCUCAACAGGAUCGGUCAAGGGAACAUAGCGCUGGCAUGCUAACAUGGGAAAAGUGACAGUAGUUUGUCCAAUCCAUAAAUUGAUGUUCAAAAUUUCCAGCUGCUAAAGACAGACUAGAGAGAAAUAUUGAUAACAGAUUAAACGAGUGCAACUAUCUUUGUUUGGUGUACCAAUGAAUAAGUCAGCAUUAUCUAUCCCAAUGCCCUUUCAGGUCAAAACUUCAGUUUAGACAAGCGAGCGAAAUCAAUGAUUCGAUCCUGCGUCAAUGUUCGAAAUAUUUAAAGGAGGGUGUCAAACGUACAGCCGAGGGGCCAGAAUUGGUCCACUAGUGGGUUAAGCCCAGCCCGUUGAAAGGCUGUGCAGGGGAAACAUCAGCACUCGCCUUCUUUUUAAUGACCUCUAGGGAGCGACUCUUCUUGUGUCAUCACCUCCGUUCAUAUAUGACCUGAGGAAACACUGUUCUGAUGGGUUUAUGGUCUCAGUUGCUAGAUUCAGCUUCAAUUGAUCACAGCAUAUUGUUCAUUUAAAAAUUGUUUUGCUCAUUGUCUUUGGUUUUUUUUUUUUAAAAAGAAAAUAAUUUUUUUUAACAAUUUUUUUGAUGCUACAUUAAACAUUUAUUUCCAAUCUUUGGCUGCAAGUUUUCGAGAAUGGAUCAUACCACGAGUGCACAAACUGACAUUAUGGCCUGGCGUGGUGGGGAGCUGUGCUGGAUGAGCUUCUCCACGUUGACAGUAGACUGACUGAAAAUUAGGGUAUUUCUGUUGAAACAUUUUAUGCCACUCAACACCUACUUUGGAAAUUAACGGUUGAUUAAAUUUGCUUUAUGUCAGAAGGUAAUUGUACCUCCUUCCACUGAAGUAUGGGGAGAAAAACUGGGGUCUUUAUGAUUCUUAGUUUGGCCCCAGAUGUGAUCAAAUGUAGCUGUAUGUGGCUUAAGAACUAAUGUGAGUUUGGUAUUCAUGGAUUUUGACUGGGGUUGAGAAUCCUUCCUCCUGACAUUGAUCCCUGAUUGAUCUUUAUUCAAACUGAUUAUCCUCUGCCUUCUAAAUUGACUUAUUGACUUACCAGAUUAUUUUCACACAAAGCCUUAAGAGGUCUUGCCAGAAGUUAUUUAAGAACCUUUAUUGCCCGAUGUCUCAUUCCAGUCCACGAAAUCAUUGGGUGCAUCGAUCCUUUGCUCCAAAGUCCCCAUUCAUGCACAAAUUCAAUAGAGACACACAGUUUCUAAAUAUUGGUGGCGUAAAUGAAAGCUGCUGACUCUGUCUCUUGCUCAUUCUGUGUUUUAGCCUUUAGUCCUUUAGUCAGCUUUAAUGUGUUUCGUUUUCUUGUAAAGCACCUUCUAGAUGUUUGAAUUAAAAUUAGUAAUAACAAUAAAUGAUCAGUGGCAGAGUUUCAGUAUUGCUAGACAGAAGAAAGAUGUUGAAUUGAAAAUGUAAUGAAUGAGACAGAAAUCCUUUUCCAAUCAUGUGGCUCAGACGACAGACAUUUCAGAACAGAAAUUGCUUGUUCAAAUAAUCCUCAAUAAAAAAAUAAAAAAAUAAAAAACUGAGAAAUGAUGACAACAUCUUCAUUUGUUAAAUGCUAUAACAUGUGCCCCUUCCCCUGAAUAGCUGGGGAUAAAUCUCAUAUGAGGAGAGCAGACGAGACAGGAACACAUAAUCCUCAAUAAAGUCACAAGACCUGUAUGACUUUAUUAGAAUCCUGAGGUGCAAUUGACAGAAAUCAACAGCACACACAUGCAGACAGGGCUGGAGAAUGUGUGCUAUCAAGCUACUUCCACUUUAUUGUCUAUCUACAUUGACAGCUGCUGACAGAAAAAAAUGGGGUGACCUAUCCUUAAACCCUCACCAACUCACAAAAUAGAGCCACAAUGCCACCUUUGAAGGAAUCCUGUUGUUCAGCAUCAAUCCUUUCCCCACUCCCAAGGUUAUUAAAGGAGAUAUUCAGGCAUGACACUGGCUGGGUGGGUAUUAAUAAAAUGAAAGGCUAAG